CGGCGUAAAGCGUGGUUAGGACAAUAGACUAAUAGGGCCGAAUAACCUCAAGACAGUUAAAUGUAUUCGAGGCCACUAAGCACAUCCACGAAAGUGACCCUAACAGCUCUGACUCCACGAAAGCUAUAACAUAAACUGGGAUUAGAUACCCCACUAUAUAUAGUCGUUAAAAUUAAUGGUACUUUACUCGAACCAUUCGCCCGGGAAUUACAAGCCCAAGCUUAAAACCCAAAGGACCUGGCGGUGCUUUAGAUCCCCCUAGAGGAGCCUGUUCUGUAACUGACAAUCCCCGGUAAACCUCACCACCCCUUGCUAAAUCAGCUUAUAUACCGCCGUCGCAAGCUUACCCUACUGAAGGUCAAAAAGUGAGCCCCAACAGUAAUACUGCAAACGUCAGGUCGAGGUGUAGCAUAUGAGGUGGGAAGAAAUGGGCUACAUUCCCUAAUGAAGAGAUCACGGAUGGCGGUUUGAAAAUAACUGCACUAAAGGAGGAUUUAGUAGUAAGGAAGGAACAGAGUGCCCUCCUGAACACGGCCCUGAAGCACGUACAAACCGCCCGUCACUCUCUCCGAGAUAUCUUUAUUAAUGCCUAAUACGUAAUAAUUCAAGAAGGCGAGAAAAGUCGUAACAUGGUAAGUGUACCGGAA
Molecule: ribosomal RNA, 647 nt
Filed under: Nezumia milleri (Miller's grenadier)
Lineage: Eukaryota; Metazoa; Chordata; Actinopteri; Gadiformes; Macrouridae
Description: partial 12S ribosomal RNA
Rfam family: Bacterial small subunit ribosomal RNA
Source: RNAcentral